RNAcentral lists this transfer RNA (71 nucleotides) under chicken gut metagenome. It matches the Rfam family "tRNA". Rfam says of the family: Transfer RNA (tRNA) molecules are approximately 80 nucleotides in length. Their secondary structure includes four short double-helical elements and three loops (D, anti-codon, and T loops). The record is from RNAcentral.
GCGAGAUAGCUCAGUUGGCUAGAGCAUCUGGUUCAUACCCAGCAGGUCGGUGGUUCGAAUCCACUUCUCGC